AUGCCCUACGACCUCUACUCCGCGGGGCGCAACGAGCGGCUCAAGCACAAGCAUGGCUCGUACGCCGCCGGCGAGGAGGAGGCGAGGGCCAUGGCCAAGGGCCCUUGCGUGGCCGUGGAGCUGUCCAAGUGGCGGGGCGCCAAGAAGGCCGGGGCCCCCGAGCCCCUGCUGAGGAGGUCGAUGCCGGCAGCAGCAGCAGCAGAGUUCUCGCAGAGCUACAGGGCCAGCGGUAGCCUGAGCGCCAUGAGGUCCUCGCUGAGGAUUCAAAUCCGUGAGAAUUCAACAGACGGAUCAGUACACCAACCCGACAACGCCCUUGGCGUGCACGACCCUGCCACGACGAGCUUCCACGCCCCGACCUGCUUCGGCGCCCAGAUCCCCGGCACACGUGAACGACGACGGCUGCUCGUCCUGCCGCGCCGGCGCAAGGUGAGUGGCUUCUGUGAGGUUCUCUCUACUAAUUCAAUCAAUUGCCAUGAAUUCGGUUACAAGCUGGAGAUACAGGAGGAAGAGAUAGAGAUUACAGAAGGGGAAGGAGGAAGAUGA
This 546-nucleotide ribosomal RNA is filed under the name Triticum aestivum (bread wheat). RNAcentral describes it as "partial small subunit ribosomal RNA". Lineage: Eukaryota; Viridiplantae; Streptophyta; Magnoliopsida; Poales; Poaceae. The record is from RNAcentral.